RNAcentral lists this long non-coding RNA (3611 nucleotides) under Salmo salar (Atlantic salmon). RNAcentral's name for it is "lncRNA (ENSSSAG00000095473.1)". Lineage: Eukaryota; Metazoa; Chordata; Actinopteri; Salmoniformes; Salmonidae. The record is from RNAcentral.
AACAGGCCUUUGCAAUAUUUCAAAUCGCCAAACAUCGCUGGAAAACACAGGUUUGAAAGCAAAUGAAUUCUGCUGAAAAGAGAAGACUAAUCUGUCUGUAAUAUAUUAUCAAAAUAUGUGUUCAACUUUCAAAUAGCCCUACUGAGCCGAAAAUCAUGGUUUUACAAAGUAAAACAAUGCGUUACAAAGUUACACAAGAAAGUUUGGCUUUUGGUACGAGCGCAUCGACCAUUCGCGGGUGAGUGAGCUGCGCAUCCUUGGCAAAGAUGAAUGGACAUUUGAUGAUACAGCCACAGAAAAGAGAAUUUGAUAAUAAACAUUCAUGAAAACAGUGACGAUUGAAAGCUGCUGAUAUUGUUCACUGGAGCGUCAUUUGCCCCCUGCAACUUGUGAUGCAAUGAGACUUUAGGUUUAAAAACAUGACAGAGACGUUGCUCUGCUUUAGAGAGGAAAGUGGGGUUUGAUGAGCACACUAGUGGAAAAAAAGACUGAUGUGUUAUCACUGGUGAUGAAAAAUGUUAGUUGGCUCUCAGUACCAUGCUUACUCCAAAGGACACUAUCUGGCCCAGAAAGACGGUGUGAGGAGAGGGUGUGUGUGUGUCUGUCACAACACCAGGGGUCUACACACUCAACUCCAAGAGGACCAUGUGGAGACCAUGCUUGUUUCCAUUAUACAAUUACAAUAGCAAAAAAUGCAGGAUACAGUAUAUGUUCCAAAAUUGACGUUUGAAUGUUAUAUGCUACAGUACUGUACAUUACAGUACAUUACACUGUUAUCUUAUUAGGCAAUACCUUUGCACUACCCAUUAAAAUGUACUGAACAUAACAUUUCCAUCAUUUCUAUCCCAUGUGUGAUCAUUGAAGACAUCUUUCACAAUCAUUAAUGCAAAAAAUAAAUGUAUUGUUUAAAUAUAAUUACUACAUAGGUCUACUGUAAUCAAAAAGACCCUAUCAAAAAGUCCCCAGCGACGUGUAUGCAAUUUAUAAUUUCUAGAACUACAGAACAACAAUCUUUAUAUAAUCUAUAUACAAAUGUCAAAUAUUGACUGACUGAGUUUGAUAUGCUACUUCUGAUUUGCUGAUUCCUUUCAUGACUAUAGGAGGUAAACUUUUCCCACGGCACAGAAGACGUGGAUGUCGUUUAAGGCCGCCCCCCGCACCUCUCUGAUUCAGAGGGGUUGGGUUAAAUGCGGAAGAUACAUUUCAGUUGAAGGAAUUGAGUUGUACAACUGACUAGGUAUCCCCCUUUCCCUUUAAACAUACAUGAUUACUAGUGGGUGGUGGAUUUCAUCCAUAAAAAAAGAGGGGACAAAACAGCAGAGGGCAGUACCGUAUUGCAAAUACCAAUACAUUAUAUUGUCACUAGCAACUGGAUGGAUACAAACAAACAACAGUUAAGAGUGGUGUGUUCAUGACAUGUUGGAAACUUGGAAAUACGAGCUUCCAAGUGGGAAAAAUCCAUCUGAACGGCCCACCAACUCAUAAUUACUUCUUUACAUGCUGAACUCUGACUUCAUCUAGUAAGGAAAUUACUUUGACGACAGCAUUUUCAGCAGUUAAAUACAACAACAAAAGGUUAUUUAUAAAAAAGCAAUCUAUUUAUAUGAUUAUUGAACACUAUAAUUUGUUCACGAGCAUAUUAGCUGUACCUUCGUUUAUGGUUGACUCCGCUAGUUUGCGUAGGUACGUCAACCACUCCGACGUAGCUAGAAUUCAAGCAACAAACACCCAGAAUUCGUAGCAACAAACACCCAGUUUGUUGCUACGAGUUUAGAAGAUGGAUUUCCAAACAUUCCAACUGAUUUAUAAUUAUAUAGAGCAAUAUUUCCAUCGUGUACCUUUCAGCAAUCAAAACACAGCAGAGUUACUUGAAGGAAGGAAGGCAAGAAGGAUUCAUGUUCAAAUAAUUUGAUCUGGGCCCCAAUUUAGCUGUUUGGGGUCGUUUUUUGGAUUGUUGAAAAAAAACAGACACAGUUAACUUGACAAUGAUGACAAAAGACAUUCAAGCCAGUGAAAAUGGAUGGAAAGCUGUUAUAAAUAAAUGCUCAGUGUUGCAGCUUUUGUCCUAAAUAUUAUUAGGCUUUGCAGAUAUGAUAUGAAGUGAAGUGUCACUACUUUAUAAUAUUUUUGGAAUAAUAACACAUUAUUCGUGAGUCUGUACGAUUUCAGCAUGUACUCAUCGGACACAGGGGAAUGUGGUGUUCAGCAUCUCUCUCUCUCUCUCUCUCUCUCUCUCUCCAACCAGCCCAUUUCCUGGAACACAGAAAGAUUGCGGUUCGGUCACUAGGUCAUAGUGAACUCUGAUAUCCUCCUGGAUCACAAUGCGCUGAUGCAACCCUGAUUAACUUUGAACCUUGAACCCCAACCUCAGUAAGAGGAUGGAAUCAAUGACGCAUUGUGGGCCAUACCAAAGGCCACUGGCUGAUGGGUCAACAUGGUGAUGGCAUGAGCAUCACAUCAUCACUUGACAUUUGUCUCAUCGUUUUGUCCCUCUAUCUAUCACUUUAUCCAUCUCCCCACUCCAACUCUCUUUCUACACUCUUCUUUACGCACACAGUGUCUCUUGAAAUUGUCCCUAGCCAUGUCAUACAUACAACAACAUAUGCAUCCCACUGGGCACAGACGUCAAUUCAACAUCUAUUCCACGUUGGUUCAAUGUAAUUUAGUUGAAAUGAUGUUGCAACAACGCUGAUUCAACCAGUGUGUGCCCAGUGGGAUGAGUACACAAAUUCAAUCACUGGAAUAGGACUUUGGAAAAGGAAAAAAACAAAUGAAUCUUGCCUAAUGAAAGAAGGAUGGAUGAAAAGAGAAGAAGGGAUGAAAAAUGAGAGAACAAUAAUGGGUGUUGGGGGAGCUCAAGGUACAAGAUGAACAGGGGAACAGAACAGGAAGAGGAAGCUGUAAUCAAUGCUAAUACAUUUUUUAUAGCUGCAGCCAAGCUUCAAUCUAUUGUUCCAUGUAUUGAUUCUGAGGGUUGAAACACUGCCUUGAAGCGGAAAGGUGCUUCUUGUAAGUAUUGUGUCAAAAUGGUGAGGAAUAAAAGGGAGGGGAGGGGAAGUUAGUCUUUGGUGCAUGUGUUUACUCUAUAACAAUCACCUCAGUGAAAUAUAACUGAGUAUAAUAUAUACUUUACUAUCUUUAUAUGUAAUCUACAACAGUGUGUAUACAUACAGGUAACUGCCAAAAUAAAGGAAACACCGACAUAGUGUCUUAAUAAUAGGGCGCUGACCGCCAGAACAGCUUCAAUGCUGUUGGAGGGAUGCGACACCAUUCUUUCACAAGAAAUUCCAUCAUUUGGUGUUUUGUUGAUGGUGGUGGAAAACGCUGUCUCUGGCACCGCUCCAGAAUCUCACAUAUGUGUUCAAUUGGGUUGAGAUUUAGUGACUGAGAUGGCCAUGGCAUAUUGUGAAACAUAAGCAAGUUGAGCAGUCUUUGUCACUGAAGUUCCUUUCAAACGCGCCCCAACAAUCACCCCUCUUUCAAAGUCACUCAGAUCUCUUCUUCUAGCCACGAUAGCCAAAAUAAUGGGCAACUGGGCCUGCCUAGCAUUUUUUACAUGACCCUAAGCAUGAUGGGAAGUUAAUUCUACACCUGUGUUGAAGCUCCUGCUU